Molecule: ribosomal RNA, 1025 nt
Filed under: Pasteurella multocida
Lineage: Bacteria; Pseudomonadati; Pseudomonadota; Gammaproteobacteria; Pasteurellales; Pasteurellaceae
Description: partial 23S ribosomal RNA
Rfam family: Bacterial large subunit ribosomal RNA
Source: RNAcentral
GGUUAAGUGACUAAGCGUACAGGGCGGAUGCCUUGGCAAUCAGAGGCGAUGAAGGACGUGCUAAUCUGCGAAAAGCUUGGAUGAGUCGAUAAGAGGCGUUUAAUCCAAGAUAUCCGAAUGGGGAAACCCAGUAGAUGAAGAAUCUACUAUCAAUAAAUGAAUACAUAGUUUAUUGAGGCGAACCGGGAGAACUGAAACAUCUAAGUACCCCGAGGAAAAGAAAUCAACCGAGAUUCUGUGAGUAGCGGCGAGCGAAAGCGGAAGAGCCAGUAAGUUUUAGCUAGCAUAUUAGAGGAAUUGGCUGGGAAGCCAAAUCAAAGAGGGUGAUAAUCCCGUACUCGAAAGUAUGUUAGUGGAACUAAGCUUACGAUAAGUAAGGCGGGACACGAGAAAUCCUGUUUGAAGAUGGGGGGACCAUCCUCCAAGGCUAAAUACUCCUGAUUGACCGAUAGUGAACCAGUACUGUGAAGGAAAGGCGAAAAGAACCCCGGUGAGGGGAGUGAAAUAGAACCUGAAACCCUGUACGUACAAGCAGUAGGAGCGAGGGCAACCUUGUGACUGCGUACCUUUUGUAUAAUGGGUCAGCGACUUAUAUUUUGUAGCGAGGUUAACUGAAUAAGGGAGCCGAAGGGAAACCGAGUCUUAACUGGGCGUUGAGUUGCAAGGUAUAGACCCGAAACCCGGUGAUCUAGCCAUGGGCAGGUUGAAGGUUGGGUAACACUAACUGGAGGACCGAACCGACUAAUGUUGAAAAAUUAGCGGAUGACUUGUGGCUGGGGGUGAAAGGCCAAUCAAACCGGGAGAUAGCUGGUUCUCCCCGAAAUCUAUUUAGGUAGAGCCUUGAGCGGACACCUUCGGGGGUAGAGCACUGUUUCGGCUAGGGGUCCAUCCCGGAUUACCAACCCGAUGCAAACUGCGAAUACCGAAGAGUGAUACUCAGGAGACACACGGCGGGUGCUAACGUUCGUCGUGGAGAGGGAAACAACCCAGACCGCCAGCUAAGGUCCCAAAGUCUAUAUUAAGUG